Molecule: ribosomal RNA, 465 nt
Filed under: uncultured bacterium
Lineage: Bacteria
Description: partial 16S ribosomal RNA
Rfam family: Bacterial small subunit ribosomal RNA
Source: RNAcentral
CCUACGGGAGGCAGCAGUAGGGAAUCUUCCACAAUGGACGAAAGUCUGAUGGAGCAACGCCGCGUGAGUGAAGAAGGGUCUCGGCACGUAAAGCUCUGUUGGUAGUGAAGAAAGAUAGAGGUAGUAACUGCCCUUUAUUUGACGGUAAUUACUUAGAUAGUCACGGCUAACUACAUGCCACGAGCCGCGGUAAUACGUAGGUGGCACGCGUUGUCCGGAUUUAUUUGGGUUAAAGCGAGUGCAGGCGGUUCAAUAAGUCUGAUGUGAAAGCCUUCGGCUCAACCGGAGAAUUGCAUCAGAAACUGGUGAACUUGAGUGCAGAAGAGGAGAGUGGAACUCCAUGUGUAGCGGUGGAAUGCGUAGAUAUAUGGAAGAACACCAGUGGCGAAGGCAGCUCUCUGGUCUGCAACUGACGCUGAGGCUCGAAAGCAUGGGUAGCGAACAGGAUUAGAUACCCUAGUAGUC